AGCGAACGCUGGCGGCAGGCCUAACACAUGCAAGUCGAGCGGGCGUCGCAAGACGUCAGCGGCAGACGGGAGAGUAACACGUGGGAACGUACCCUUCGGUUCGGAAUAACCCAGGGAAACUUGGACUAAUACCGGAUACGUCCGUAAGGAGAAAGAUUUAUCGCCGAAGGAUCGGCCCGCGUCCGAUUAGCUAGUUGGUGGGGUAAUGGCCCACCAAGGCGACGAUCGGUAGCUGGUCUGAGAGGAUGAUCAGCCUCACUGGGACUGAGACACGGCCCAGACUCCUACGGGAGGCAGCAGUGGGGAAUAUUGGACAAUGGGCGCAAGCCUGAUCCAGCCAUGCCGCGUGGGUGAUGAAGGCCCUAGGGUUGUAAAGCCCUUUCGGCGGGGAAGAUAAUGACGGUACCCGCAGAAGAAGCCCCGGCUAACUUCGUGCCAGCCGCCGCUGUAA
Molecule: ribosomal RNA, 451 nt
Filed under: uncultured bacterium
Lineage: Bacteria
Description: partial 16S ribosomal RNA
Rfam family: Bacterial small subunit ribosomal RNA
Source: RNAcentral